This 30-nucleotide non-coding RNA is filed under the name Rattus norvegicus (Norway rat). The record is from RNAcentral. Lineage: Eukaryota; Metazoa; Chordata; Mammalia; Rodentia; Muridae.
UUAGUCUACCCAAGCUAAGGAACUCUGGUC